CACGUAGGGGGCGAGCGUUGUCCGGAAUUAUUGGGCGUAAAGAGCUCGUAGGCGGUGUGUCGCGUCGGCCGUGAAAACCUGCAGCUUAACUGUGGGCGUGCGGUCGAUACGGGCAUCACUGGAGUUCGGCAGGGGAGACUGGAAUUCCUGGUGUAGCGGUGAAAUGCGCAGAUAUCAGGAGGAACACCGGUGGCGAAGGCGGGUCUCUGGGCCGAUACUGACGCUGAGGAGCGAAAGCGUGGGGAGCAAACAGG
RNAcentral lists this ribosomal RNA (254 nucleotides) under uncultured bacterium. Its description in RNAcentral is "partial 16S ribosomal RNA". It matches the Rfam family "Bacterial small subunit ribosomal RNA", at positions 524 to 776 of the family's 1533-position model. The record is from RNAcentral.